Molecule: ribosomal RNA, 900 nt
Filed under: Triticum aestivum (bread wheat)
Lineage: Eukaryota; Viridiplantae; Streptophyta; Magnoliopsida; Poales; Poaceae
Description: partial small subunit ribosomal RNA
Source: RNAcentral
AUGCUUGAUCUCAAUGAGUUGCCUCCUGAUCUCAAUGAGCUUCCUCAUGAUACGGAUCAGCAGCAACCCAGCAUGCAACAAGGAAAAUGGACAGAAAAUGGUCGAUCUGUUUACUACACGCAGGCAAGUCAUGAUGGUAACCCUAUGGGCCAUGACAAUGUGGCAGGCCAGUCAUCAGACCGUGGUGCCCCUGUAGUGGUGUCUUUGCAGUCAGAGAGCCAUGCUCUAGAUGACACGGGAACCGAGGCAAAUGUUCCUGGUCCAACCAGGACUGAGCUAGGAGCUGGGGCUGUUGACGGAGCUGUCCAAGGAGAAGAAGGAGAGGAUGAGGCUGGUUCUCAACCUAUGGAACCCUAUGUUGGCAUGAGGUUUGACAACCUUCAAAUUGCUAAGGAUCACUACAACAGCUACGCACUACGGAUGGGUUUCUCUAUCAAGAUGAACACAUCUAGAUGGACACCCUGCACCAAUGAAUUGAUAAAACAACAGUUUUGCUGCAACAAGUUCAAGAAGCCCAAAGCUGAUGAUGGAGGAGCCGAGGCUCCUCCUAUCCUGGACCCUAUUCCAGAUCCAAAAUCUGUUGACAGUGAUGAGGAGAUGGAAGUAGAACCUCCAAUAUUUGCUGAAGAGGAGGCUGGUACUAGUAAGAAGAAGAAGAAGCGCAAACGCGAGAUAAUAAAGCAGACUCAGUGCAAAGUGAAAAUGUUGGUGAAGCUGAUAGAUGGGCGAUGCAAGGUGACGCACUUUGUUCGUGACCACAGUCAUCCGCUCGUGAACAAACCUUCAUUAUCCAAAUACUUGAGAUCCCACCAAGGCAUCUCACCUGAUGAAAAGGAGUUUCUGCGCAUCUUGUAUAACUGCAACUUGACUACAUGUGUGGUGUUUUUCUAUAUCCCUUAA